RNAcentral lists this ribosomal RNA (465 nucleotides) under uncultured bacterium. RNAcentral's name for it is "partial 16S ribosomal RNA". It matches the Rfam family "Bacterial small subunit ribosomal RNA", at positions 338 to 795 of the family's 1533-position model. The record is from RNAcentral.
CCUACGGGCGGCAGCAGUAGGGAAUCUUCCACAAUGGGCGAAAGCCUGAUGGAGCAACGCCGCGUGAGUGAAGAAGGUUUUCGGAUCGUAAAACUCUGUUGGUAGAGAAGAAAGUGAGUGAGAGUAACUGUUCACGCUUUGACGGUAACUACUCAGAAAGCCACGGCUAACUACGUGCCAGCAGCCGCGGUAAUACGUAGGUGGCAAGCGUUAUCCGGAUUUAUUGGGCGUAAAGGGAGUGCAGGCGGUCAUUUAAGUCUGAUGUGAAAGCCUUCGGCUUAACCGGAGUAGUGCAUUGGAAACUGGGGAACUUGAGUGCAGAAGAGGAGAGUGGAACUCCAGGUGUAGCGGUGAAAUGCGUAGAUAUAUGGAAGAACACCAGUGGCGAAGGCGGCUCUCUGGUCUGUAACUGACGCUGAGGUUCGAAAGCGUGGGUAGCGAACAGGAUUAGAUACCCUUGUAGUC